Molecule: ribosomal RNA, 378 nt
Filed under: uncultured bacterium
Lineage: Bacteria
Description: bacterial SSU rRNA
Rfam family: Bacterial small subunit ribosomal RNA
Source: RNAcentral
CGAGAAUCUACUGAAGGAGGAUUCGUCCAACGGAAGUAGAGGAAAGUGGCGGACGGGUGAGUAACGCGUGAGGAACCUGCCUUGAAGAGGGGGACAACAGUUGGAAACGACUGCUAAUACCGCAUGAUGCAUAGGGGUCGCAUGAUCUUUAUGCCAAAGAUUUAUCGCUUCAAGAUGGCCUCGCGUCUGAUUGGCUGGUUGGCGGGGUAACGGCCCACCAAGGCGACGAUCAGUAGCCGGACUGAGAGGUUGAACGGCCACAUUGGGACUGAGAUACGGCCCAGACUCCUACGGGAGGCAGCAGUGGGGAAUAUUGGGCAAUGGGCGCAAGCCUGACCCAGCAACGCCGCGUGAAGGAAGAAGGCUUUCGGGUUGUAA